GUGGCGCCCCCGGCCCGGGAUGACCUCAGAAACCCGACCCGGGGAUGCCAAACAAACUAACCAACUCAAUAUAUGCUUACACAACCUUAACAACACUUCAUAAUAUAAAGUUCUUACAACGUCUUCAAGUUUGUAACUAAAGAUUACAUCAUAAGCUCCUAACUUAAACACAAACACAAGCAUAUUAUAUUAACAUCUUCCUCUACAAGCCUCUUGUUGCCACUAAAACCUUAGUUCAUCACAUUCUUAUCCUUUCCAGAACAUCCUUCUCCAAAAUUCUUUCCUGAGAAAGUUAGUGACAUAAAAGAGUGAGCUAUAAAGCUCAGUGAGCAUAUAUUGUACGAUUCAACUGAGGUUUAUCCAAGAACUAAAACAAUCUUUUGAUAAAAUAAUCAUCAAGAAUUUAUCAAUAUCAUCAAAGGUUCAUCACAGCAAAAUAGUUCUCACAAGAUUAAAACCGAGUAUUCAAGCAUGAUUAGUUCAUCAAUUCAUCAAGUUGGGAUCCCGGCCAGCUAAACAAUCGGUUUAGCUCUACUUCCAAUAAGGAAGCAUCAUCAUCAGUUCAUCAAGUAUCAAUGCAAGAAUACUCGUUUUUCAUCAGUAAAACAUCAUUUAAAUAUUAAACAUCAACAGCGAAUAAGUACAGUAUAUACUUACCUUAAAUCGCUUCUAAAUUUAAAUUCUUUCUCGAUCUCGAACCUCGGUACUAUUAACCCUUCCUAACAAUAUAAAUCACAAUUUGCAAUUAACAAUUUUUUUAUUUUAUUAAAUCUCAAAACCAAAAUUUCUACUAAUAAAAAGCCUUACUAACUAAUUACAAUUAAAUAAAAUAAUAAUAAUAGUAAACAAAUAAUAAAUAUAAAUAAAUAAGAAUAAAAUACGAGGACUUACAAAUUAAAAGCCUUCAGUUUCCUAAUUAGGAAAGCCAACUAGCUUGGUGUAUUUAUACAAGGAAAGUGGGAGAAUUUCUCAAGCUUUCUCGAUGUGGUACCAAGUCCAAUAGAAAGAAAAUGAAAUAUUGAAAAUAAAAUUCUUUACAUAAAGAUGACACUAGAGCUAGUACCAACUAGGCAGUAUGUAAAUAGCUUAAGUUGUUGGUAAAGGCCAUGCUCCUUUCCUAUAUAUAUCUAUCAAGUUUCAUUUUUCUUAUCAAUGUGGUAGCAAAGUAAAGCACAAAAAGAAAAGAAAUUCUAACAAAGCACUCAUGGGUGUUACAAGGGAAGCUGGGCCUACAACCAAUUAAUUAUUGUUGCUCAUAACCUUGGCUCCUUCUAUAUGUUUACAAUAUUCUUCAUUUAUUUAGUCAAUGUGGUUUGUGUAUUUUUCCUCUCAUUGUAAUACACUACUCAUCCCACAUCGAAAAGGUAUUGAAACCUUCUUGCUUUCAACAUCUAUAUAUAUCCCCCAAAUAGCUCACCUUUCUACUUAAAAGGUUUUGAAACCUUUGUAUCUUAGAAAGCUUGCAACCUUUCUCCUGGCUUAAACAUAGCCAAAUAAUAUAAGUUCAAACUUUUUAUUUAGAGAAAAAUUGAUAUGUUUUCUCAUAAUUAGAUAAAUAACAAGAUGAAGGAUGAGUUCUAAAGUUUAUGGACUUCACUAAGUCCCACAUCGAGGGAGUAUAAGAAAGAUAUAAGCUCUUCCUCUAUAUAAGAAGGCUACUAGCCAAUACUAGUAUUUUAUAUCCAACUAAGUAAGUGAUCUUGCUUAGUUUUGGGACGAUUAUUCGUCCCACAUCGAGAAGAUACACUAAAGUUAUCACUUCUUUCUCUAUAUAACAAUGGUAUGAAGCCUACACUAGCAUCUUAUAACAAACUAAGCUAAACAUGUCGCUUAGUUUUUGGGACAACUCUAGUUGUCCCACAUCGAGAAGAUUUUGAAUAGGUCUUCUUCCCAACUCCAUAUAAUGUCAAUAGAUCUAUUUGCUCAAAGUAACAAAAGAGAACUCACCCAUUCUCAUAAUGAGAAGUUGAGCAUAGAACUUAUAAAGUUCCAUAUAAAUUAGACAAACACAAAUAUUCUUUCAUGACUUUACAUAUAAGUCAAACAGGGCAUGAAAGUCCAUAAGUUUACUCUUACAAGAAUAGAAGUAGAGAUAAAAAUAAUCAUCCAAGUCUUAUUUAUUUGUAAAACACUUGUCCCACAUCGAGAAGAUGUGAGUACAAGUCUCAUGUCUCAACUAUAUAUUGAGAUUGAGCAUGAACCUACUAACUUAAAAGUUGGGCUUGGUAACUUAACUAAGCCUAACAUUUGCCCCAAAUAAUGAUUGGGUUGAUAUCUUCCAAAAUCUUAUUUUCGGAUUGAACACAACUUUUAAGAAGGAAGAAUAUAUAAUAAUAUUCUUCAAAAUACAUAUAAUAUAAUUUAUGUAUUUUUAAAUAAUAUAAAGUCGGAAUAUUACAUCCUUCCCCCCUUAAAAGAAUUUCGUCCUCGAAAUUUAAAUCAUACCUGACAUAUCGAAUAAAUUUGGAUAUUUUGUCCUCAUCAUUUCCUCGGGUUCCCAAGUUGCCUCCUCACAUUAUGAUUUCUCCAAAUAACUUUCACUAAAGGUAUGAUCUUAGUUCUCAACUUCUGCUCGCGACGAUCUGCUAUUUCAACUGGGUGUUCUUCGUACUGCAUAUUUUCCUGAAUUUCUAUUGGUUCAUAAUCUAUAAUAUGCGAUGGAUCUGAGACAUACUUUCGCAGAUAUGACACGUGAAAUACGUUAUGAAUAUGUCCUAGACUUGGUGGGAGUGCUAGCUCGUAUGCUACUUCUCCAAUUCUUCUAAGAACCUCAAAUGGCCCAAUAUAACGAGGACUUAAUUUUCCUUUCUUCCCGAAUCUCAUAACACCCUUCCAUGGAGAAAUUUUAAGAAAUACAAAAUCUCCCUCCUUAAACACAACAUCUCGGCGGUCCUUGUCUGCAUAACUUUUUUGCCUACUCUGAGCCGUUAAAAUCCUUUGUUGUAUCAACUUCACCUUCUCCGUAGUUACCCGAAUUAACUCUGGCCCCAACAAUCUUCUUUCUCCAACUUCAUCCCAACAUAAUGGUGUUCUACAUCGACGUCCAUAAAGAGCUUCAUAUGGAGCCAUCCCAAUUGUCGCUUGAUAACUAUUAUUAUAUGCAAAUUCUGCUAAAGGUAAAUGUUCUUCCCAACUUCCUUUAAAAUCCAACACACAAGCUCUUAACAUGUCUUCUAAAAUUUGAAUUGUACGUUCCGAUUGACCAUCCGUCUGAGGGUGAAAUGCCGUGCUCAUACUUAGUUUUGUACCCAUCUCUUCUUGAAAACUAUUCCAAAAUCUCGAAGUAAAUCUGGGAUCUCUGUCAGACACAAUCGACACAGGUACUCCAUGCAACCUAACUAUUUCUCGUAUAUACAACUUUGCUAACUUCUCUAGAGGUGAUGAUUCUGAUAUAGCCAGAAAGUGGGCACUCUUUGUUAGUCUAUCCACGAUAACCCAGAUGACAUCAUUUCCUCUUUGUGUCCUUGGCAAUCCUAAUACAAAAUCCAUGGUGAUGUGUUCCCAUUUCCAUUCAGGGACAGGUAGUGAUUGUAAUAAACCUCCUGGCCUUUGAUGCUCCGCUUUCACUUGUUGACAAACUAAACAUCUUGCCACCCAUUCCGCAAUUUCUCUCUUCAUCUUAGGCCACCAAAAAUGUUGCUUUAAGUCCUUAUACAUCUUCGUAGAUCCAGGAUGUACCGAAAAAGAUGAUGAAUGUGCGUCAGACAAUAUUUCCUUCUUAAUCUCUAUAUCAGAUGGUACACAUAUUCGAUCGCGAAACCUCACGAUGUCGUCGUUUCCUUUCCUAAAAUCUUUCUUUCCCGAUUCUGAAUUAGAAUUAUUCAAAAUUUCUUUUAAUCGUUCAUCUUGAAUCUGACUUGCCUUUAUCUUUUCUAAUAACAUCGGUUUGACCUUAAUUUGACACAAUAAGCUCUCAUCCUUCUUUUGCAUACCAAAUUCCAUUCUAAAUCUUUCUUCUUUAAGAUCUAAUGAUUCUACUAUAACACUCGCACAAUUUCCGACUUCCUUCCUACUUAACGCAUCAGCUACAACAUUCGCCUUACCAGGGUGAUAUAAAAUUUCACAAUCAUAAUCCUUUAACAACUCCAGCCAUCUUCUCUGCCUCAUAUUUAAAUCUUUCUGUGAAAAGAGGUACUUUAAACUUUGAUGAUCUGUAAAAAUUUUACACUUUCCUCCAUACAAGUAAUGCCUCCAGAUUUUAAGCGCGAAAACUACUGCAGCCAAUUCUAAAUCGUGGGUGGGGUAAUUCUUCUCAUGAUUUCUUAAUUGUCGAGAUGCAUAAGCAAUUACCUUAUCACGUUGCAUUAACACACAUCCUAAUCCUUUCCUUGACGCAUCACUAUAAAUAACAAAAUCUUCAGUUCCAUCUGGUAAUCCAAGUACUGGAGCAGACGUUAGUCUUUUCUUUAAUUCAAUAAAACUUUUCUCACAUUCCUCCGACCAAACAAACUUAACGUCUUUCCUUGUGAGAUUUGUUAAUGGUCCAGCUAUCUUAGAGAAAUUUUGAACAAACUUCCUAUAAUAUCCGGCCAAACCUAAGAAACUUCGAAUCUCUGUCACCGUCCUUGGUCUUUCCCAAUUCAUGAUCACCUCAAUCUUCGAAGGAUCAACUGAAAUUCCUUCUUCUGAAACUACAUGUCCAAGAAAACUUACUCUCCUUAACCAAAACUCACAUUUUGAAAACUUCGCAUACAACUGCUCUUUCCUCAAAGUUUCUAAGACAAUCCUUAAAUGUUCCUCAUGUUCCUUCUCAGUCCUUGAGUAAAUCAGAAUAUCAUCGAUAAACACAAUUACAAACUUAUCCAGAUAAUUCCUAAAUACUCGAUUCAUCAAAUCCAUGAAUACCGCAGGUGCAUUUGUUACCCCAAACGGCAUCACUACAAACUCAUAAUGACCAUAUCGAGUCCUAAACGCCGUCAAUGGAAUGCUUUCUUUCUUUACUCUCAACUGAUGAUAGCCUGAGCGCAAAUCUAUCUUUGAAAAGUAAGUGGCUCCUUGUAAUUGAUCAAAAAGAUCAUCUAUUCGUGGAAGUGGGUAUUUAUUCUUUACAGUCAACUUAUUCAGUUCUCUAUAAUCAAUACAUAAUCGUAGAGAACCAUCCUUCUUUUUCACAAAUAACACCGGUGCUCCCCAAGAAGAAACACUUGGUCUAAUAUACUUUUUAUCCAACAACUCUUGUAAUUGUACCUUGAGUUCCGCUAACUCGGUUGGUGCCAUCCUAUACGGUGUUUUCGAUACUGGUUGUGCCUCCGGAAUCAAUUCAAUACCAAACUCAACCUCUCUUUCGGGUGGCAAUCCUGGCAAAUCCUCGGGAAAAACAUCUAAAAACUCUCUAACCACAUGGGUAUUCUCUACUUUAUUUUUAACUUCCUCUUCACCAAUCACAUAAGCUAGAAACCCUUCACAUCCUUUUUUUAACAUCUUAUAAGCUUUCAGAACUGAUAUCAUGACACUAGGUUUUUCUAACCUGUCUCCUUUAAAAUAAACUUUCUUUUUAUCUGGGCCCCUUAAACAUAUUCGUUUUUUACUACAAUCCAAAUUGGCCUUAUACUUUGUCAACCAAUCCAUUCCCAAAAUUACUCCAAAAUCCUUCAAUUCUAAAGGUAACAAGUCUACUAGAAAAGUAUGUCCGCUAACUAUAAGGGUGCAAUCUUUAUAAACUUUGUUCACAAACAAAUUCCUACCGUUAGGGAGUUUUACUAGUAAUGCAUUAUCUAAACUUUGCGCAGGAGUAUUCAACUUAUCCACAUACUUCAAAUCCACAAAAGAAUGAGUUGAUCCAGAAUCAAAUAGAACAUGAACAUCUUGAGAACAAAGUUGGAGCGUACCUGACACCACAUCAUUCGAUAUUUCAGCAUCCUGAGUCGUCAUUGCGUAGGUUCUUGCCACUGCCCUAGGUGUUGAUUGCUGAAAAGGUCUUGAUGUGGUAGUUCUAUUUUCUUUAGUUUCAACUUCUUGCUUGACUCUUUUCUGUGGGCAGUCCCUUGAUACAUGUCCCGGUUUUCCGCAACUAUAGCAAGAAAUCACUUUCGGCCUUGGGCAUUGAGUCGCUAUAUGCCCCCUUUCUCCACAAUUAUAACACAACCCAUCAGCUCGGUAACAAAUGUCACCACCAUGCUUUAGUCCACACUUCUUACACUCCGGUAUGGUGGUCUUCCUAUCAUUUCCCGGGAAACUAUCUUUCUUUGUCUUCUGAAACUUCUUAUCAUCCUUCUUAUAUCCUGAAUUAUCACGCAGUUCUGUUUCUCUUCCUCUUUUCUUAUUGUUGAAGAAUUGGGUGCGAGCUUCAUACUCCCUUUCGGCAAUCCUAGCUUUUCCCACCAACUUAUCAAAUUGCUCUAGUUCCAACAAAGAGACCCUUUCUCUAAUUUGAGGUUUCAGUCCCUCCUGAAAUCUCUGACAUUUCCUAGCUUCAGUAUUAACCUGAUGAGGGGCAAACCUAGAAAGCUCCAAAAACUUCGACAAAUAUUCUGACACAGACAUUCCUUCUUGCUUCAAUCCUAAAAACUUCAUCUCCAUCUCAUUUUUCAUACACGCAGGAAAAUAUUUAUCAAAGAACAACUCCUUAAACCUCAUCCAAGUCAUUGUUGAACAAUCUUCCGUCUGUUUAACAGUGUCCCACCAAAAUACUGCUUCCCCCCUUAAAGAGUGUGUUGCGAAUUUCACCUUUUGUUCAUCCAAGCAUUCAGAAAUUUCUAUCACUUUCUCCAUUUCCUUAAUCCACGUAUUCGCAACAUGUGGAUCCAAAUCUCCUUUAAAUAUCGGGGGAUCAGCAUCCUUAAAGGUCUUGUAAGUACACCUUCGUUUAUUCUCACCUUCUCGCUCCGGAUUAUUUAUACGAUCUUGUUCUUCCACACGAUCAGUGUUUACCUUAAUUGUAUUCGUAUUUUCUUGAUCUCCCCUAAUAGUCUUCAACAUAUUCCUCAUUUCCUCCAAAACCAACAUCAUUUCAGGACUAAUUUGAACGCUAGGCCCAGCUCCACUACUAUUUUCUUCAUUCAUCGUUACCUAAAAAUCAUAUAAUAUAUAUUAGAACUCUGAUCUAAUCCACAAUUCAUACUAGCACGAUAGUAAGUACUAAACAUAUAGUUUAUUCCACACAUUCACAACUAAGGUCCACAUAUCCCUUAGACAUAUUCUCCUAACUUAAAAACACACUAGUCUAGAAUCUUAAUUCUACUUUCGCCGAUACUCGAACCUAUAGCUCUGAUACCACUUGUGGCGCCCCCGGCCCGGGAUGACCUCAGAAACCCGACCCGGGGAUGCCAAACAAACUAACCAACUCAAUAUAUGCUUACACAACCUUAACAACACUUCAUAAUAUAAAGUUCUUACAACGUCUUCAAGUUUGUAACUAAAGAUUACAUCAUAAGCUCCUAACUUAAACACAAACACAAGCAUAUUAUAUUAACAUCUUCCUCUACAAGCCUCUUGUUGCCACUAAAACCUUAGUUCAUCACAUUCUUAUCCUUUCCAGAACAUCCUUCUCCAAAAUUCUUUCCUGAGAAAGUUAGUGACAUAAAAGAGUGAGCUAUAAAGCUCAGUGAGCAUAUAUUGUACGAUUCAACUGAGGUUUAUCCAAGAACUAAAACAAUCUUUUGAUAAAAUAAUCAUCAAGAAUUUAUCAAUAUCAUCAAAGGUUCAUCACAGCAAAAUAGUUCUCACAAGAUUAAAACCGAGUAUUCAAGCAUGAUUAGUUCAUCAAUUCAUCAAGUUGGGAUCCCGGCCAGCUAAACAAUCGGUUUAGCUCUACUUCCAAUAAGGAAGCAUCAUCAUCAGUUCAUCAAGUAUCAAUGCAAGAAUACUCGUUUUUCAUCAGUAAAACAUCAUUUAAAUAUUAAACAUCAACAGCGAAUAAGUACAGUAUAUACUUACCUUAAAUCGCUUCUAAAUUUAAAUUCUUUCUCGAUCUCGAACCUCGGUACUAUUAACCCUUCCUAACAAUAUAAAUCACAAUUUGCAAUUAACAAUUUUUUUAUUUUAUUAAAUCUCAAAACCAAAAUUUCUACUAAUAAAAAGCCUUACUAACUAAUUACAAUUAAAUAAAAUAAUAAUAAUAGUAAACAAAUAAUAAAUAUAAAUAAAUAAGAAUAAAAUACGAGGACUUACAAAUUAAAAGCCUUCAGUUUCCUAAUUAGGAAAGCCAACUAGCUUGGUGUAUUUAUACAAGGAAAGUGGGAGAAUUUCUCAAGCUUUCUCGAUGUGGUACCAAGUCCAAUAGAAAGAAAAUGAAAUAUUGAAAAUAAAAUUCUUUACAUAAAGAUGACACUAGAGCUAGUACCAACUAGGCAGUAUGUAAAUAGCUUAAGUUGUUGGUAAAGGCCAUGCUCCUUUCCUAUAUAUAUCUAUCAAGUUUCAUUUUUCUUAUCAAUGUGGUAGCAAAGUAAAGCACAAAAAGAAAAGAAAUUCUAAC
This 8413-nucleotide long non-coding RNA is filed under the name Daucus carota (carrot). Its description in RNAcentral is "long non-coding RNA (DCAR_LNC004740)". Lineage: Eukaryota; Viridiplantae; Streptophyta; Magnoliopsida; Apiales; Apiaceae. The record is from RNAcentral.